CCUACGGGUGGCUGCAGUGGGGAAUAUUGGACAAUGGGCGAAAGCCUGAUCCAGCCAUGCCGCGUGUGUGAAGAAGGCCUUCGGGUUGUAAAGCACUUUCAGUGGGGAAGAAAGCCUUGGGGCUAAUACCCUCGAGGAAGGACAUCACCCACAGAAGAAGCACCGGCUAACUCCGUGCCAGCAGCCGCGGUAAUACGGAGGGUGCGAGCGUUAAUCGGAAUUACUGGGCGUAAAGCGCGCGUAGGCGGUCUGAUAAGCCGGUUGUGAAAGCCCCGGGCUCAACCUGGGAACGGCAUCCGGAACUGUCAGGCUAGAGUGCAGGAGAGGAAGGUAGAAUUCCCGGUGUAGCGGUGAAAUGCGUAGAGAUCGGGAGGAAUACCAGUGGCGAAGGCGGCCUUCUGGACUGACACUGACGCUGAGGUGCGAAAGCGUGGGUAGCAAACAGGAUUAGUACCCGGGUAGUC
RNAcentral lists this ribosomal RNA (464 nucleotides) under Vreelandella stevensii. Its description in RNAcentral is "partial 16S ribosomal RNA". It matches the Rfam family "Bacterial small subunit ribosomal RNA", at positions 338 to 795 of the family's 1533-position model. Lineage: Bacteria; Pseudomonadati; Pseudomonadota; Gammaproteobacteria; Oceanospirillales; Halomonadaceae. The record is from RNAcentral.